ACGAACGCUGGCGGCGUGCCUAAUACAUGCAAGUUGAGCGCUGAAGGUUGGUACUUGUACCCACUGGAUGAGCAGCGAACGGGUGAGUAACGCGUGGGGAAUCUGCCUUUGAGCGGGGGACAACAUUUGGAAACGAAUGCUAAUACCGCAUAAAAACUUUAAACACAAGUUUUAAGUUUGAAAGAUGCAAUUGCAUCACUCAAAGAUGAUCCCGCGUUGUAUUAGCUAGUUGGUGAGGUAAAGGCUCACCAAGGCGAUGAUACAUAGCCGACCUGAGAGGGUGAUCGGCCACAUUGGGACUGAGACACGGCCCAAACUCCUACGGGAGGCAGCAGUAGGGAAUCUUCGGCAAUGGACGAAAGUCUGACCGAGCAACGCCGCGUGAGUGAAGAAGGUUUUCGGAUCGUAAAACUCUGUUGGUAGAGAAGAACGUUGGUGAGAGUGGAAAGCUCAUCAAGUGACGGUAACUACCCAGAAAGGGACGACUAACUACGUG
This 496-nucleotide ribosomal RNA is filed under the name uncultured bacterium. Its description in RNAcentral is "partial 16S ribosomal RNA". It matches the Rfam family "Bacterial small subunit ribosomal RNA", at positions 29 to 507 of the family's 1533-position model. The record is from RNAcentral.